AAUGAGAAAUAUGAUGAAAAAUUACGUUAGAUAAAAGUAUUUUAGUAGCCUUAUAAAAGUUCUCAUUUGGUAUUUACAAAAAUUCGUACUUUGAUAAUGCUUUUAUACAGCCUCAUAAACACAAUUUAUUUUAAACAAUACUGUGCGCUCCAGUUUCAAAAUCUGUUACCGAUUUAGGAGACAAUGCAAAUUGAAAAUUGCCUAUAAAACCCGCUGCAACUCAAACCCGAUCCACAGAAAAUUUUCAGUUACUAAAAAGAGCUCACGAGAAUAAGUUUGAAACAUGAAUUUCAAGGUGUUUACAAUUUUUGUCGCCAUUGGUCUGAUGGCUACUGCAGCAAAAACUUCUGCCGCUUCGCCAGAUGAAGACAACUGGGAGAGUUUGAAAAUAUCUUGUGUGGAUAACACUACUUGUUCGCUACAAUGCCUAUUCUAUCCAAAAUUCAAGAUAGGCGAAUGCAGGGAAGGGUCAUGUUUUUGCCAAUUAAAAUACGCUUCGCCGAAAAAAGUUGACGAACCAUUUGGUAGUUGUACCGAAAGCCUUAAGUGUGCGUUACAAUGCCUAUCCUAUCCAAGAUACUCUGGUGGCUACUGCAAGGAAAAUACUUGUUUUUGUACUCGCAAAUGAAUUCACUUCAUUCGAAUAUUUAAUCAUACUUCCCAAUCGCAAUGUUUUCACUAAAAAUUAUAAAAGAGUCUUUUAGAAAAAAUGGCUAUUUUUUUCUUUUUUUCUUCAAUUGAUUCUGUCAACAUGAAGUUUUUUGGAAAUGUAUUUUUUAAAUAAAUGAGUUUACUAACAAGAUAACAGUUCGUUUUAUCCAGUUUAUCAAAUAAAUCGUCAAAGCGAUGAAUAAACUCUUCCAAUAAUUGCCCAAUUCACAAAAUGAAUUUGAUCUGGUAAUGAACACAAAAAUGACAAGCGGAUACCAUUUGCUUGAAAUUGAAGAUAUCAUUUUGUUAUUAAUUAAGUCUCUUACGUAUAGUUCUGAAAUGGAAUUAGUCUAAUUUGCGAAAAUAAAUUAAUUUCACGAAAAUGAAUUGAAAUCUCCUUUUUCUCCUUCA
This is a long non-coding RNA of Sitodiplosis mosellana (orange wheat blossom midge), 1062 nucleotides long. RefSeq lists it as uncharacterized. Lineage: Eukaryota; Metazoa; Arthropoda; Insecta; Diptera; Cecidomyiidae. The transcript is spliced from 3 exons. The record is from RefSeq and is a predicted model, not a curated record.